Molecule: ribosomal RNA, 90 nt
Filed under: Methanosarcina mazei
Lineage: Archaea; Methanobacteriati; Methanobacteriota; Methanomicrobia; Methanosarcinales; Methanosarcinaceae
Description: partial 23S ribosomal RNA
Rfam family: Archaeal large subunit ribosomal RNA
Source: RNAcentral
AGGAAUUAUGCUAUCAGGUGGAUGGCUCGGCUCAAGAGCUGAUGAAGGACGUGCCAAGCUGCGAUAAGCCCGGGGUAGGUGCAUGGAUCC